This 85-nucleotide transfer RNA is filed under the name Planctomycetes bacterium MalM25. RNAcentral's name for it is "tRNA-Leu". It matches the Rfam family "tRNA". Rfam says of the family: Transfer RNA (tRNA) molecules are approximately 80 nucleotides in length. Their secondary structure includes four short double-helical elements and three loops (D, anti-codon, and T loops). Further hydrogen bonds mediate the characteristic L-shaped molecular structure. tRNAs have two regions of fundamental functional importance: the anti-codon, which is responsible for specific mRNA codon recognition, and the 3' end, to which the tRNAs corresponding amino acid is attached (by aminoacyl-tRNA synthetases). tRNAs cope with the degeneracy of the genetic code in two manners: having more than one tRNA (with a specific anti-codon) for a particular amino acid; and 'wobble' base-pairing, i.e. permitting non-standard base-pairing at the 3rd anti-codon position. Lineage: Bacteria; Pseudomonadati; Planctomycetota. The record is from RNAcentral.
GGGCCCGUGGCGGAAUUGGCAGACGCGCAUGCUUGAGGGGCAUGUGCCCGCAAGGGCGUGCUGGUUCGACUCCAGUCGGGCCCAC